UACGUAGGGUCCGAGCGUCGUCCGGAAUUAUUGGGCGUAAAGGGCUCGUAGGCGGUUUGUCGCGUCGGGAGUGAAAACACGGGGCUUAACCCCGUGCCUGCUUCCGAUACGGGCAGACUAGAGGUAUGCAGGGGAGAACGGAAUUCCUGGUGUAGCGGUGAAAUGCGCAGAUAUCAGGAGGAACACCGGUGGCGAAGGCGGUUCUCUGGGCAUUACCUGACGCUGAGGAGCGAAAGUGUGGGGAGCGAACAGG
Molecule: ribosomal RNA, 253 nt
Filed under: uncultured bacterium
Lineage: Bacteria
Description: partial 16S ribosomal RNA
Rfam family: Bacterial small subunit ribosomal RNA
Source: RNAcentral